Molecule: ribosomal RNA, 200 nt
Filed under: uncultured bacterium
Lineage: Bacteria
Description: partial 16S ribosomal RNA
Rfam family: Bacterial small subunit ribosomal RNA
Source: RNAcentral
ACGCUCGACACCUACGGGAGGCAGCAGUUGGGAAUAUUGGACAAUGGAGGAAACUCUGAUCCAGUGACGCCGCGUGAAGGAAGAAGGUCUUCGGAUUGUAAACUUAUUUUGUCAGGGGAGAAAAAAUGACUGUACCUGAAGAAAAAGCACCGGCUAACACGUGCCUGCAGCCGCGGUAAUCUGAGCGGGCUGGCAACGGC